GGCUGUCGUCAGCUCGUGGUCGCGAGAUGGUUGGGUUAACGUACCGUAACGAGCGCAACCCUGUCCUUAGUUACCAGCACGUUAUGGUGGGCACUCUAAAGGAGACUGCCGGUGACAAACCGGAGGAAGGUGGGGAUGACGUCAAGUCAUCAUGGCCCUUACGGCCUGGGCUACACACGUGCUACAAUGGUCGGUACAAAGGGUUGCCAAGCCGCGAGGUGGAGCUAAUCCCAUAAAACCGAUCGUAGUCCGGAUCGCAGUCUGCAACUCGACUGCGUGAAGUCGGAAUCGCUAGUAAUCGUGAAUCAGAAUGCCACGGUGAAUACGUUCCCGGGCCUU
Molecule: ribosomal RNA, 339 nt
Filed under: uncultured Pseudomonas sp.
Lineage: Bacteria; Pseudomonadati; Pseudomonadota; Gammaproteobacteria; Pseudomonadales; Pseudomonadaceae
Description: bacterial SSU rRNA
Rfam family: Bacterial small subunit ribosomal RNA
Source: RNAcentral